Molecule: long non-coding RNA, 4529 nt
Organism: Magnolia sinica
Lineage: Eukaryota; Viridiplantae; Streptophyta; Magnoliopsida; Magnoliales; Magnoliaceae
Exons: 3
Source: RefSeq, a predicted model, not a curated record
ACAAUCGGCAGCCAAACCCAAAAACCGCGAUCUAGUCUCUGCGAUCCACAACCCUCGACCGAUCCGGAAUACUCCAUUGGCGUCAUGCACUGAACCACCUAUGUCACUGUCCCAUUAUUUCUAGCAGCAUUGUGGCAUCCUCCGUCGACGCCACCAUCAUUAUUUCCGGCAGCAUUGCAACACCUGUUCAGUGGCAUCCUCCGUCGACAUCGUUGGUCUCAAUUGUUGCUUCUGCACUCCUGAUAAUCCUACGUGCAUCGAGUGUUUUUAUUUAUCCAAAAUCAAUAGAGUAAUUUCUGAAGGAAUUUCAGAAAGGAGAAUCAAAUUCACGAGGUAUUUGGAUUCCCAGGCCUUUUCUUCCUCCUUUUAGCAUUGUAUUUAUUGAUCUCUCAUUUAGGUACACGUGGCAAGCAUGUAGUAGAUCUGAACCCGUCAUUUGUUGGGUCCUACACUGGAUGGGCUAACCCCUGAUAAUCAUACUUAUUGAGGAGUCACAGCCACUGAUUGUAGGAUUUUUUAGUUUUCAAAUUUAGAUGGUUAGAUGAAGGUCCAAUUAAUGGUGAAAUUAAAUUUCCGCCAGUUAGCUGUUUGGAUUGUCUGACUUGUGUGAUUUUUGGUGUAUGGCCUUUCAACUGUGAGGCACAACAGAUGAAUGACCUGGAUCUUAUACAUGUGUGCCUCGUCAAGUGAGAAUCUAUUGGACAGCUUGGAAUAGCAUCCGUAGUUGCAUAUGGCAUGCCAUUUACAUCAGCUUGGAUUAGGCAGUGCGAAUGCUUAAUGGGUGGCUGCAUGACUCUGUGAGUGAUGGGCAUAUUUAAAGAUUUCACUAUAUGUUGCUUGAGAUGAAUUGCAAUGUAUCUGAUCAUAAUUCUGCAGUUUUUGUCAACUAAUUUGAAUAGAGAAUCUAGUAAGUUCUUAUCUUUAACCUAUAAUUAUAUGGUUUUGUUCUCAAAAUGGAAGGCAGUGCCCUGUCAACUGAAUAGAAGAUAUAAUUUUUCCUUUUUAUAUUAUAGUUUUCUGAUGAUAUUAAAAAACAAAAAUUGGACAGCUAAAAGCAAUUGACAGAAGUGAUUCUUACUGGGGAAUAUUCUGGUCCCCAAGUCAUAUGCUCUGAGAUGAUUCUUACUGGGGAAACUAUAUGCAGGUAUUCAAACGUACACUGAUGCUAGGCAUUUUGCCAUAUCUGCACAGAUACCGAAGUUCAGCAACAAGAACAGAACUCUGAUUCUCCAAUACUCUAUAAAAUUUGAGCAGGAAAUCGAAUGUGGUGGUGGUUACAUAAAACUUCUUUCAAGUUGUGUCAAUCAGAAGAAAUUUGGUGGUGAUACUCCCUACAGCCAUGUAUGAAGAUUCAAUUUAGAGUCUCAUCUUUUGCAAUUCACUUACUUGAGAAGGGAACACAGGUUAGUUUCUUCUUCUAUAUCACAGGAUUGUACCAAUAAAAAACCAAAAAAAGAAAAAGAAAAAAGAAAAAAAAGAAAAAGAAAAGAAGACAAGCUGAUACAAAUGCACUUAGAAAUUGUAUGUGUCAUAUGUAGGCCCAAAUAAAACCAACUAAUUGUGCAGCCCCCACUGUUCUCAAGUUACAAGACCAAGAUCAGAUUGGUUGAACAAUCCUAACCUCUGAUUUGUGGACACUUGUUUGUGAGAACAGGACCAUUGGAUAUUUUUAUUUUUAACCAUCCAAUCAAUUUGUGGGAAGAGCUAAGAUUAUGAUGAUGAUAAAAGACAUUUUCUGAAAUAUCUGAAAAUUUCAAUGAUAAUUAUCUGGUGCCAAGGGAGAUUUGACGUUGCAGGGCUUCACAGUACGUAAGGAAUUACUGGAUAAAGUUGCGAUUUUUUUUUUCCAUGGUCAGCCUGCAGAGCUCAAGCAUGGUAGUGUCAUUAUGGCAGCCAUCACCAGCUGCACAAAUUCGUCAAAUCUGAUCCAUACCUUAUUUUUCUUCCUUUUUCAGACUUUAAGUUAUCUUCCACUUCUUACUCUUUUAAGUCUUAACCCAUGAUGCAUGACUAGAUUCACUUGAAUGCAUAUUCAGUGUUGAGAUAACAGUUUAUUAACUUGAAUCCCUUCUUGAUCAGGUUAAACCUUAGAUUAAGACAAGUCUUGAUCCAAAUUCCGGUGUUGUUACCAAAUAUCUCCAUAAGAGUGGGCUGCAAAAGUAUUUGGAUCAACAAGGUUUCCACAUUGUUGGUUAUGGCUGCACUACAUGUAUUGGGAAUUCUAGUGAUCUUGAUGAGUCAGUCUAUUCUGCAAUUUCAGAAAAUGGUAGGCGUGAAAUACAUGUGAAUUUCAGAUAAUAGCCACACUACAUGUAUAGGGGUUUGUUUGGUUGCACCAAACAUCAUGAAAUUCAUAAUUAAUCAAUCUACUUUGUUGCAGAUUUUCAUGAUAUUUGGUGUAACCAAACAAUACUUUCAAUCUAAAGAACUUAAAGAAUGGCAUGUGGGUAAACCUACAACUGAUUUUUGUUGAUCAGUUCCUCCAUUUGUGAUUGUUCUUUGAUCUAAUCUUUGAAUGUUGAGCCUUCCUCUUGAAUCUGAUUUGGGUUUGUAGGAGAAAAUAAUGAUUGUCAAUUCAUGUUCAACAUACAUUCAUGACCCAUCUGAUGAGCAGACCUGCCUGAUUUUUGGUCCAGGGCAUGUUCACAAUAUCCCCACUUGAUGAAUGGUCCAGACAUCUCGCACAUGCCAUAUUCACAAGUGUUCCACAAAGAUCUUCUCCGUUAUUCUUUGCAUGAAUCUUAUAAAUCUACUUCCCAACAGUUGAAACAUAUGGGUCAUAAUUUUCCAAUUUUACAUCCUUUGGUAGAUUGCUUAUCCUCGCCUAGUUGGUUCUACAGUGCUCUCAACAUUCAAACAGGUUCUAAUGGGUCCGUGGAAAUAGAGAGGCUCACUGAUGUGGCAAUAACUGAUUUUAUGCAAGCAAGUCGGUGGUAUGCUAAGGGGAGAAGAGCCUGAUCUAUAUUGUGGACGAAUGUCAACGAGGUAUCUAGCAGAUCUCAUUGGUGGGGUAUCAUGCUCCUGAGUUUACACAGUUCUUAUGUUGUAAUUUGGAUUGGCCAUUCUUUUCUCUCUUUAGUUUUGUGUAUGCAGCUUGACUAGAAUUAGCAUUGACAAGAAAGUGUAAUCACAUUCCUUACAGGCAUAUCCUCGGUUGAUGUUGGUCUUUGCUUACGCUAUGUUUGGAUGCAUUAUCGUAACUGAAUCGAAUUGCAAUAAUUAAUUCAGUAGAGAGGAAAUGAUCAAAUGCUGACAACCUCUGAAUUCAUAAUGAGGAAGUAGCCCCCCUCAAAUUGACAGCUAUAUAGCCUGCAUUCCUUUCAAAUCCAUCUUGAAACUCAUGUAAUUUUUCACUCUAAAAAAGAAGAAGAAGAGAGAACUCAUGUAGAAGUAAGUUGUUUACCUGUAAUCUGACAUAAGCUAUUAUGUAAAAACUUAUGAAUUAGAUCAUAUCAGUACUUAUCGUAUCAAUCCUUUGAGAUUCCAUUAGCAUGGAUGAUUUUGCACUGUGCAGCUUGCUUCUUUCUGCAUAUUGAGCAAAAAUUCAUUGUGUGAAGAGAUAUGGGCUUGUAAAUCUAACUGGUUGUGAUGCUUGUGUAUAGGUCCGCACCAUGAGAGUAGAGAAGCGCCUGAAUGAGAUAGUGAAUAGGUUGAACAAGACAGAAGUCGAAAGGAAGCCUGACUUCAAAGGUAUGAUGGUCUAUCCUAGAUUUCAUGUCCGAAGAUCAUAUAAAGAUUGUCUCUUGAUUCUUGACCUUCCGGUUGAUGAUGCUUGCAUUUCUGAGUCCAUCCUGAAAAUUUUAGUCUGUUAUGUUUUGAAGGGUGUAAACCUUUUUGUUGGCUUUUUGCAUAGUCAUGUCAGGAAGUUUUUAACUGAGGAUAUAGUCUUUGAUAGAGUGGGAUGGUGCAACUGGAUUAAUGUAGCUGACCCCAGUUAGAUGGGAUAAUAAGGCUUGAGUGAUGAUGAUGAUGAUGAUUUUUUUGUGGCAAUCAAAAGCCGAAAUACGGAUUCAGUGGAAUUAAUUUACUACCUUUUUUUCCCUGAUACAGAGGAAGCUUCCCUGAUGGAUCUUCUGAAUUUUAUGUACACUGAGAGUCUCAUGACGACUACAACUCCUGCAUUGUUGGAUGUGCUAAUGGCUGCAGACAAGUUUGAGGUUGCUUCAUGCAUGAGGUACUGUAACCAGUUGUUGAGGAAUUUGGUGAUGCAUUAGCUGUGAAUCCAUAAAAUCCAGAAAAAGCUAAUCCAUGGAGGUUUCCAUGAUAAUGCAAGACACAUCUCGCUGUUGACCAUCGACCUUGGUUUGAAAACCUAACCUACAGUGACACUUGUCCUUUCUCUGUUUCCACAUGGACCAACUCCCAGAGGGGGGUUUUCCACAUCCAGGUUUAGAUGUCACCAUACCCAAGCAGUCCCUAAGGAAACAAAUGAAUGUUCAUUUUGUUCUUUCUUCUUCUUUUCACUUUUCACUUUUCACCAUUUGAUACAACCGCACAAUGCUCUCUGGACGGGGGCUGUUUUGGGUCGA